GUGGGGAAUAUUGGACAAUGGGCACAAGCCUGAUCCAGCCAUGCCGCGUGAGUGAUGAAGGCCUUAGGGUUGUAAAGCUCUUUUGUCCGGGAAGAUAAUGACUGUACCGGAAGAAUAAGCCCCGGCUAACUUCGUGCCAGCAGCCGCGGUAAUACGAAGGGGGCUAGCGUUGUUCGGAAUCACUGGGCGUAAAGCGCACGUAGGCGGACCAUUAAGUCAGGGGUGAAAGCCUGGAGCUCAACGCCAGAACUGCCUUUGAUACUGAUGGUCUCGAGUAUGGAAGAGGUUGGUGGAACUGCGAGUGUAGAGGUGAAAUUCGUAGAUAUUCGCAAGAACACCGGUGGCGAAGGCGGCCAACUGGUCCAUUACUGACGCUGAGGUGCGAAAGCGUGGGGAGCAAACAGGAUUAGAUACCCUUGUAGUCC
This 425-nucleotide ribosomal RNA is filed under the name uncultured bacterium. RNAcentral's name for it is "bacterial SSU rRNA". It matches the Rfam family "Bacterial small subunit ribosomal RNA", at positions 354 to 796 of the family's 1533-position model. The record is from RNAcentral.